This 157-nucleotide non-coding RNA is filed under the name human gut metagenome. The record is from RNAcentral.
GUAGGCACUUAGCAGUUCUUAUAAUUUUAUCAUUUUCCAGAAAUUUCCGUACAAGGAUGUACGGAAAAGGCGAUACUGAGUCCGGAUGACGAAUUAUCGCCGGUUUCGUUCCGGCGCCUCAGUAUAAAAUAAAAUUGUUAGAACUGCUUAGUGUUGA